Molecule: ribosomal RNA, 453 nt
Filed under: uncultured bacterium
Lineage: Bacteria
Description: bacterial SSU rRNA
Rfam family: Bacterial small subunit ribosomal RNA
Source: RNAcentral
ACUCCUACGGGAGGCAGCAGUAGGGAAUUUUCCGCAAUGGACGAAAGUCUGACGGAGCAAUGCCGCGUGAGUGAUGAAGGUUUUCGAAUCGUAAAGCUCUGUUGUAAGGGAAGAAUAGCAAGAUAGGAAAUGAUUCUUGUCUGACGGUACCUUACCAGAAAGCCACGGCUAACUCCGUGCCAGCAGCCGCGGUAAUACGGAGGGUGCGAGCGUUAAUCGGAAUUACUGGGCGUAAAGCGCAUGCAGGUGGUUUGUUAAGUCAGAUGUGAAAGCCCGGGGCUCAACCUCGGAACUGCAUUUGAAACUGGCAGACUAGAGUACUGUAGAGGGGGUAGAAUUUCAGGUGUAGCGGUGAAAUGCCGUAGAGAUCUGAAGGAAUACCGGUGGCGAAGGCGGCCCCUGACAAAGACUGACGCUCAGAUGCGAAAGCGUGGGAGCAAACAGGAUUAGAUA